GGGAAUGUGGCUUAGUGGUAGAGUGCUUGCCUAGCAUGCAUGAAGCCCUGGGUUCCAUUUCUCAGUACCA
Dipodomys ordii (Ord's kangaroo rat) is the source of this 70-nucleotide non-coding RNA. The record is from Rfam. NCBI's taxonomy places the organism in Eukaryota, Metazoa, Chordata, Mammalia, Rodentia, Heteromyidae.